Molecule: ribosomal RNA, 497 nt
Filed under: uncultured bacterium
Lineage: Bacteria
Description: partial 16S ribosomal RNA
Rfam family: Bacterial small subunit ribosomal RNA
Source: RNAcentral
GAUGAACGCUGGCGGCGUGCCUAAUACAUGCAAGUCGAGCGAACGGACGAGAAGCUUGCUUUUCUGAUGUUAGCGGCGGACGGGUGAGUAACACGUGGAUAACCUACCUAUAAGACUGGGAUAACUUCGGGAAACCGGAGCUAAUACCGGAUAAUAUUUUGAACCGCAUGGUUCAAAAGUGAAAGACGGUCCUGCUGUCACUUAUAGAUGGAUCCGCGCUGCAUUAGCUAGUUGGUAAGGUAACGGCUUACCAAGGCAACGAUGCAUAGCCGACCUGAGAGGGUGAUAGGCCACACUGGAACUGAGACACGGUCCAGACUCCUACGGGAGGCAGCAGUAGGGAAUCUUCCGCAAUGGGCGAAAGCCUGACGGAGCAACGCCGCGUGAGUGAUGAAGGUCUUCGGAUCGUAAAACUCUGUUAUUAGGGAAGAACAUAUGUGUAAGUAACUGUGCACAUCUUGACGGUACCUAAUCAGAAAGCCACGGCUAACUACGUG